Esox lucius (northern pike) is the source of this 942-nucleotide long non-coding RNA. The record is from Ensembl. Lineage: Eukaryota; Metazoa; Chordata; Actinopteri; Esociformes; Esocidae.
GUGAAGCUAUUUGGGACAAUGCUGAAGAUGUUUGCUCGCACUGGGCAAUCAGGUGCAGAUCAGACCCUAGUGCUGCGACGUCUUGGAGAGUUUGGCGAUGUUGUGCGUAGCAUGGAAAACAAAAUGGACACUAUGCUGCAACAUUUUAGUGCCAAUGUGUCUGUUGGAGAGCUAUCCCUGCCAGGGGAUGUUACUCCCCCUAGACACCCAGGAAUAUUUGGUGUUUCUUGACAACAUUUUGAGGGAGGAUAAAGAGCUCCAGGAACGAUUUGUAAGUGUGUUGCGUUCGUUUAUAAGGCCGUAGGGUAAUCUAAAAAGUCAAAUUAAGUUUGUACACAGUAUAUUCUACAGUCUAAAUCCACAGCCUGUCACAUUUUAUAUUUAUGUAUGAGAAGCUUGCGAGAAAUUUAAUUUAACAAAUUUUUGGAUUUUCAGCUUCGGUUUUUGGCUAUCAAAUGUGGGAGGGACCUGAAGACAACAGUGUGGAGAAUGCUUCAGAGUAUUUUCUCUAAUAACCUUGCCGUUAAUACAACCUGGACUGGUAUAGGGGAUAAAACCUGUUUUAGAGACCUGUUCCUGAAGACCAUUGUUCAAAGUAAUUUUUUUAAGUAGAUGCCCUUCUGCCUUAUGCCAUUAAAAUGUAAUGACAGAUCUGUAUUUUCUACAGGGGCCCUCCGGAAGAACCCGGCAACCCAGGAUGCCACUGAUGAGGCGGUCCAGGUUAACGUUACACGUUACCUGAAAGGAGCAUCAGACUGUGAAGGAGGAAAAAGCCGCCCAGCUGAGAAGGACCCACAGCCAACCCCUUAAACCUAGGCUGACUACUGACACCCCAGCAUCCCUGAACUGGAACACUUUCUUUAUCCUGCAGUCAGUAACAUCAAGAAGCCACAAGUGCCAGACUACACUCACCAAACCCACCCUGUUUUUUUUGUAUUAACU